This 468-nucleotide ribosomal RNA is filed under the name uncultured bacterium. RNAcentral's name for it is "partial 16S ribosomal RNA". It matches the Rfam family "Bacterial small subunit ribosomal RNA", at positions 28 to 507 of the family's 1533-position model. The record is from RNAcentral.
GACGAACGCUGGCGGCGUGCUUAACACAUGCAAGUCGAACGGAAAGGCCCGGCUUUUGUGGGGUGCUCGAGUGGCGAACGGGGGAGUAACACGUGAGUAACCUGCCCCUGACUUUGGGAUAACUUCAGGAAACAGGGGCUAAUACCGGAUAGGAGCUCCUGCUGCAUGGUGGUGGUUGGAGAGUUUCGGCGGUUGGGGGUGGGCUGGCGGGUUAUCAGCUUGUUGGUGGGGUAGUGGCGUUCCCAGGUUUUGACGGGUAGGCGGCCUGAGAGGGUGAGCGGCCACACUGGGACUGAGGGACGGCACAGGCUCCUACGGGAGGCAGCAGUGGGGAAGAUUGCAGAAUGGGCGGAAGCCUGAUGAAGAAACGCCGCGUGCGGGAUAACGGCCUUCGGGUUGUAAACAGCUGUCGCAUGUGACGAAGCGUGAGUGACGGUAAUGGGUAAAGAAGCACCGGCUAACUACGUG